RNAcentral lists this small RNA (190 nucleotides) under Pelagibacterium luteolum. RNAcentral describes it as "caulobacter sRNA CC2171". Lineage: Bacteria; Pseudomonadati; Pseudomonadota; Alphaproteobacteria; Hyphomicrobiales; Devosiaceae. The record is from RNAcentral.
AACCAAGCGAAAGGAGGUGAUCCAAUGUCUAGUGAGAUCCGCGCAGGCGGGAGUGACUUUGGGUAUGAGGUGAUUUUGACGGGGCAGCCCUCGCCAAGAUGAACAUCCCUCCGAACCGCUUGGAUUAGCGGUUCAGUCACCACCGAGUGACGGUAUCAUGGAAGGACUGCUCGCUUUGUCGGGCAGUCCU